GAUGAACGCUGGCGGCGUGCCUAAUACAUGCAAGUCGAGCGAACGGACGAGAAGCUUGCUUCUCUGAUGUUAGCGGCGGACGGGUGAGUAACACGUGGAUAACCUACCUAUAAGACUGGGAUAACUUCGGGAAGCCGGAGCUAAUACCGGAUAAUAUUUUGAACCGCAUGGUUCAAAAGUGAAAGACGGUCUUGCUGUCACUUAUAGAUGGAUCCGCGCUGCAUUAGCUAGUUGGUAAGGUAACGGCUUACCAAGGCAACGAUGCAUAGCCGACCUGAGAGGGUGAUCGGCCACACUGGAACUGAGACACGGUCCAGACUCCGACGGGAGGCAGCAGUAGGGAAUCUUCCGCAAUGGGCGAAAGCCUGACGGAGCAACGCCGCGUGAGUGAUGAAGGUCUUCGGAUCGUAAAACUCUGUUAUUAGGGAAGAACAUAUGUGUAAGUAACUGUGCACAUCUUGACGGUACCUAAUCAGAAAGCCACGGCUAACUACGUG
Molecule: ribosomal RNA, 497 nt
Filed under: uncultured bacterium
Lineage: Bacteria
Description: partial 16S ribosomal RNA
Rfam family: Bacterial small subunit ribosomal RNA
Source: RNAcentral